CGACAACGGCAGGAUUCGAACCUGCGCCCGCGAACGGAAUUGCUAUCUGGAAUUUGCUUCGAGGCAAUCGCCUUAACCACUCGGCCACGUUGCC
This 94-nucleotide transfer RNA is filed under the name Fusarium pseudograminearum CS3220. Its description in RNAcentral is "tRNA-Ser". Lineage: Eukaryota; Fungi; Ascomycota; Sordariomycetes; Hypocreales; Nectriaceae. The record is from RNAcentral. RNAcentral also lists the same sequence under 3 other names.